RNAcentral lists this ribosomal RNA (508 nucleotides) under uncultured bacterium. RNAcentral describes it as "bacterial SSU rRNA". It matches the Rfam family "Bacterial small subunit ribosomal RNA", at positions 9 to 517 of the family's 1533-position model. The record is from RNAcentral.
GAGUUUGAUCCUGGCUCAGGAUGAACGCUGGCGGCGUGCCUAACACAUGCAAGUCGAGCGAAGCACUUAAAAUGGAUUCUUCGGAUGAAGCUUUAUGUGACUGAGCGGCGGACGGGUGAGUAACGCGUGGGCAACCUGCCUUACACAGGGGGAUAACAGUUAGAAAUGACUGCUAAUACCGCAUAAGACCACAGUACUGCAUGGUGCAGUGGUAAAAACUCCGGUGGUGUAAGAUGGGCCCGCGUCUGAUUAGGUAGUUGGCGGGGUAACGGCCCACCAAGCCGACGAUCAGUAGCCGACCUGAGAGGGUGACCGGCCACAUUGGGACUGAGACACGGCCCAGACUCCUACGGGAGGCAGCAGUGGGGAAUAUUGCACAAUGGGGGAAACCCUGAUGCAGCGACGCCGCGUGAGCGAUGAAGUAUUUCGGUAUGUAGAGCUCUAUCAGCAGGGAAGAAAAUGACGGUACCUGACUAAGAAGCCCCGGCUAACUACGUGCCAGCAGCCG